This 253-nucleotide ribosomal RNA is filed under the name uncultured bacterium. RNAcentral describes it as "partial 16S ribosomal RNA". It matches the Rfam family "Bacterial small subunit ribosomal RNA", at positions 524 to 776 of the family's 1533-position model. The record is from RNAcentral.
UACGUAGGGCGCAAGCGUUAUCCGGAAUUAUUGGGCGUAAAGAGCUCGUAGGCGGUUUGUCGCGUCUGCCGUGAAAGUCCGGGGUUCAACUCCGGAUCUGCGGUGGGUACGGGCAGACUAGAGUGAUGUAGGGGAGACUGGAAUUCCUGGUGUAGCGGUGAAAUGCGCAGAUAUCAGGAGGAACACCGAUGGCGAAGGCAGGUCUCUGGGCAUUAACUGACGCUGAGGAGCGAAAGCGUGGGGAGCGAACAGG